Peromyscus maniculatus bairdii (prairie deer mouse) is the source of this 2060-nucleotide non-coding RNA. The record is from RefSeq and is a predicted model, not a curated record. Lineage: Eukaryota; Metazoa; Chordata; Mammalia; Rodentia; Cricetidae.
CCGCCUCUUGCGGCAAGUGGAGGGGGGUGCGGCGCCGGUGCCAGCCUCUUGCAGAGCCGGGCGCCUCGCGCAGGCGCGCUGCCCGCGCCGCCGGAAGUGACGGUUCCGGCCCGUGUCACGUGGAAGAGGGACGGUGGGGACAUCAUGUGUUCCAGACUCCCUUCCCGAGAGAAUCGGUUUUCCGGGCGCCCCGGAGCGUGGGCGGAGGAGCAGCGCGGAGCUCGCAGGUUCCCGUAAGGCGACUUGCAAAGCCCAGGUGUCCUCGCACUGUACCGGAUGUUUGCACUCGGAAGCGUUCUGCGGUUUAAGAAUUACUUAGGAGAGAGCUUUAAAAAGCCCUCUUUCUGCAGUGUGGGAGCCGUGCGAUUGUGUUCAGAGCAGGUAUUAGAUCAUUUUUAAAGAUCGUGAAUCGCUGUUGCCUGGGAAAGCUUAACCCAGGCGCCCAAGGUCACGCAGCUGGGCAGAUAGUUGGCCGGGAGCAUCAAAAUUCUUAGUUCCUCGCUUUGAGCCAUUCUGAUUAGGAUCAGAUCCUUACAGUCUAGCAGGUUUAGGACUGUUAGGAAGCCGCAGUUUCUGGUCCCACCCUCACAAAAAGAUUUGCCUAUCUGAAAAAGAAUGCCUCGUUGCUUCACUUUCGCCGGCACGGGAAUGUGGCUAGAAGGCAUUUGGGAGUGGAAGGGAUGGCAAAAUAUAGAGAAUGUGGACAGAUAGAAGGGGAAUUAUCGCUCCGGCCCACUUUCUGGCGGCUUUAACUCUGUGGAGGUGGAGUCAGAUGCAGCCUGAGCUGGCCUGGAACUCAUUACAUACCCGAGCCAGUCUUGAACUUGUGAUCUUCCUUUCUCUGCCACUGUCCCCCAAGUACUGGGAUUAUGAUCAUGUAUCACUACCAGGCCUGGCUUGGCCUCCUUUCUGUAUGUAGAAAGCAGGUGUGGCUCAAGUCUAAUCCUCGCUGAAACAGGAACGCCAUAAACUGGAGGCCAGCCUGGAGUGCAUGGCAAGAUCCUUUAUUGGAAAAGUAAUUACUGAAAGGUUCCAAUUUCUUAAGCCAAAAAUCUAGAUUUUUUUUUUCUCCACCUGGAAUGAAGCAUUUCUCCAGUUUUCUCAAAUAUAGGCCUGAUAGUGUUUCUGGACUCCCUAGCACACCUGUGAAAGUAGACGAAUGUGAUACUAUGUGCAGCCUUAUUUCCUUAUCUUACUUUUUUUUUUUCGGUUUUUUUGUUUUUUUUCGAGAUAGGGUUUCUCUGUGUAGCUUUGCGCCUUUUCUGGAACUUGCUUUGUAGACCAGGCUGGCCUCGAACUCACAGAGAUCCGCCUGCCUCUGCCUCCCAAGUGCUGGGAUUAAAGGCGUGGGCCACCACCGCCAAACUCCUUAUCUUACUUUUAAUGAGAUACAGGCAGAAUCAUCAGGAAAUGCGAUUAAGCAAAAGACUUUCAGCUUAUAAAUCCUCUGUUCUUUCUUCUCUGGUAUUUGAAGAGAAGCUGUUUCUCCAGCGCUGCUCCAGAUUUAGGCAUUGCUGCUGCAUAACCCACUAAACUGACGUUCUUCGUCCAAAGACCUGACCUUUAAAGAACAUUCCAGCUCAGUGGAAGUCGGAUUAUAUGUCAGAUGAUUGAUGUGCUGUGGCACUUGGGAGUUUCCAUUUAGAAAUGAGCUGGCCAUGUUCCUUACUGUGAGGAGUCGUCGAAGUCUCUCUCCUCCGACAGUUAGUCGAGCUGUGUUUUUCAAGCAGAAUACUGGAGAAAUUUAGUCGUUUCGUGCGACCCCAAACGGGAUUCAGCUUCACAGUUUGGGCCUCAUACAACUUAACCUCAUCAGAACACUAGAAUAAAAUCUAUAAUCAUAAUGCCGUCGUUGUUUUGGUAAGGAACAUCAUUUCCUUGAUUUCUCCCCCCCCCCCCCAAUCCUGGCUUGGGAUUUUGGAAGUUAAUGUUUAGGACCUUGCUGAACACUGUGGACACCACCAAGGCCUCUGUUGGAUUGUCAGCAAAUCUGAAAUUUUAAUGUCCUCUGGUCAUCAUGGAUUAUUCUGUAACAGUCAAUAAAUGUUGUUUUGAAAAUA